This 777-nucleotide long non-coding RNA is filed under the name Macaca nemestrina (pig-tailed macaque). Its description in RNAcentral is "lncRNA (ENSMNEG00000045798.1)". The record is from RNAcentral. Lineage: Eukaryota; Metazoa; Chordata; Mammalia; Primates; Cercopithecidae.
GCCACUCUUUCUGACAGUUCUGGGCUCGCUCAGGGAUCACCUGGGGGUCUUAAAAGCUGGGCGGAAUCUCCUCAAAGCUAAACCAUUGAAAACAAUGUAGGAAAACAUGGAGGAGAAUGGGUAUGAGCUUCUUCCACGUGGGCGAAACAAGACAGUCAAGACGGGCACGAAUCAAGUUUUAAAAUCGGGUCUACCAGAUUUCGAUGUCUUUAUGACACAUUCUAUUACUCAACUUUGGAAAAGAAUAUCUUGAGUCGUGUGAAUAAGCCUAGUACUUGCAUUUUGAAUGGGUCAUUCCUUUGGUGUUUACAGUUAAGAAACAAUGGAGAUACCAAACAAGAUAAGACUAAGCCACAGAGAUAUCUGAAAAGCUGCCAUCAAUCAAACCUCUUUGUGAAGCCGGUUAGUGCAGCUUCCAUUGUUCUAAGCAGCAGGCAAAAGGAACAAAUAAAAUCCAGCUGUUUCUUCACUGUGGCACCAGAAAAUCCCUCCAAAACCCCCCAAGGUGAACCUCACGUCAACCAAAACCAAGACAUGAGCCAGAGCCUAAACAGAGGAAAGAAAACAGAAGAGAGGAUUCUAGUGAUGUAUCUGGUCAUCAUUCCAAGCAACCAAGCUGAACUUUUGCACUGACAAACAAUUUUUUCCAGAGCAUUUUAAAAUUUACAGAAUUCAACCCUGUCAACAAGACGGAGGGUCUCCCAAAUGCUGCAAUCUGCUCCGUGCUCUGUGCUGCUCUGCUGGGCUGUCACAACUGCUCCCUGUGCGUUUCUGCAG